Molecule: ribosomal RNA, 1372 nt
Filed under: uncultured bacterium
Lineage: Bacteria
Description: bacterial SSU rRNA
Rfam family: Bacterial small subunit ribosomal RNA
Source: RNAcentral
GAUGAACGCUGGCGGCGUGCCUAAUACAUGCAAGUCGAGCGAACGGACGAGAAGCUUGCUUUUCUGAUGUUAGCGGCGGACGGGUGAGUAACACGUGGAUAACUUACCUAUAAGACUGGGAUAACUUCGGGAAACCGGAGCUAAUACCGGAUAAUAUUUUGAACCGCAUGGUUCAAAAGUGAAAGACGGUCUUGCUGUCACUUAUAGAUGGAUCCGCGCUGCAUUAGCUAGUUGGUAAGGUAACGGCUUACCAAGGCAACGAUGCAUAGCCGACCUGAGAGGGUGAUCGGCCACACUGGAACUGAGACACGGUCCAGACUCCUACGGGAGGCAGCAGUAGGGAAUCUUCCGCAAUGGGCGAAAGCCUGACGGAGCAACGCCGCGUGAGUGAUGAAGGUCUUCGGAUCGUAAAACUCUGUUAUUAGGGAAGAACAUAUGUGUAAGUAACUGUGCACAUCUUGACGGUACCUAAUCAGAAAGCCACGGCUAACUACGUGCCAGCAGCCGCGGUAAUACGUAGGUGGCAAGCGUUAUCCGGAAUUAUUGGGCGUAAAGCGCGCGUAGGCGGUUUUUUAAGUCUGAUGUGAAAGCCCACGGCUCAACCGUGGAGGGUCAUUGGAAACUGGAAAACUUGAGUGCAGAAGAGGAGAGUGGAAUUCCAUGUGUAGCGGUGAAAUGCGCAGAGAUGUGGAGGAACACCAGUGGCGAAGGCGACUUUCUGGUCUGUAACUGACGCUGAUGUGCGAAAGCGUGGGGAUCAAACAGGAUUAGAUACCCUGGUAGUCCACGCCGUAAACGAUGAGUGCUAAGUGUUAGGGGGUUUCCGCCCCUUAGUGCUGCAGCUAACGCAUUAAGCACUCCGCCUGGGGAGUACGACCGCAAGGUUGAAACUCAAAGGAAUUGACGGGGGCCCGCACAAGCGGUGGAGCAUGUGGUUUAAUUCGAAGCAACGCGAAGAACCUUACCAAAUCUUGACAUCCUUUGACAACUCUAGAGAUAGAGCCUUCCCCUUCGGGGGACAAAGUGACAGGUGGUGCAUGGUUGUCGUCAGCUCGUGUCGUGAGAUGUUGGGUUAAGUCCCGCAACGAGCGCAACCCUUAAGCUUAGUUGCCAUCAUUAAGUUGGGCACUCUAAGUUGACUGCCGGUGACAAACCGGAGGAAGGUGGGGAUGACGUCAAAUCAUCAUGCCCCUUAUGAUUUGGGCUACACACGUGCUACAAUGGACAAUACAAAGGGCAGCGAAACCGCGAGGUCAAGCAAAUCCCAUAAAGUUGUUCUCAGUUCGGAUUGUAGUCUGCAACUCGACUACAUGAAGCUGGAAUCGCUAGUAAUCGUAGAUCAGCAUGCUACGGUGAAUACGUUCCCGGGUCU